GAUGAACGCUGGCGGCGUGCCUAAUACAUGCGAGUCGAGCGAACAGACGAGGAGCUUGCUCCUCUGACGUUAGCGGCGGACGGGUGAGUAACACGUGGAUAACCUACCUAUAAGACUGGGAUAACUUCGGGAAACCGGAGCUAAUACCGGAUAAUAUAUUGAACCGCAUGGUUCAAUAGUGAAAGACGGUUUUGCUGUCACUUAUAGAUGGAUCCGCGCCGCAUUAGCUAGUUGGUAAGGUAACGGCUUACCAAGGCAACGAUGCGUAGCCGACCUGAGAGGGUGAUCGGCCACACUGGAACUGAGACACGGUCCAGACUCCUACGGGAGGCAGCAGUAGGGAAUCUUCCGCAAUGGGCGAAAGCUUGACGGAGCAACGCCGCGUGAGUGAUGAAGGUCUUCGGAUCGUAAAACUCUGUUAUUAGGGAAGAACAAAUGUGUAAGUAACUAUGCACGUCUUGACGGUACCCAAUCAGAAAGCCACGGCUAACUACGUG
RNAcentral lists this ribosomal RNA (497 nucleotides) under uncultured bacterium. Its description in RNAcentral is "partial 16S ribosomal RNA". It matches the Rfam family "Bacterial small subunit ribosomal RNA", at positions 28 to 507 of the family's 1533-position model. The record is from RNAcentral.